Molecule: RNA transcript, 1792 nt
Organism: Nycticebus coucang (slow loris)
Lineage: Eukaryota; Metazoa; Chordata; Mammalia; Primates; Lorisidae
Gene name: dnaJ homolog subfamily C member 8-like
Exons: 3
Source: RefSeq, a predicted model, not a curated record
AUGUGGCUGUUUGACAAGCAUGGAGGCAGCUUCUUCUGCCCCACCCUCCUUCAUGGACCAAGGAAGGAAGAGAAGAGCAGCGAGAACAAGUCUUUGGCUCUCCAGAGUGAACCUAGGGGAGCCCAGGACACAAAUUCGGAAGCUGAAUUUCUCAGCGUAGCCUUUCAGAUCCUGUUUGAUACACCCAUAGUGGUCACUCCAAAGGUCAUCAGAAAUGAUGAGGACCUCAUUAGCUUUGUCAACAUCCAAGGUCCUAUCUGCUGUGGAAGAAAAAUGAGUGGCUCAGCAAACGGGCAGACUGAAGAUGAACUCUUCAUUUUGCAAAGGCUCCAGCAUCUCAUUCACUUAAACUUCAUUAAUUCUUUCCUCCUAAAUCAGAAAUCUUCCUACGGGACUUCGGGUGGCGGAGGCAGCACAGAAGAAGCAUUUAUGACCUUCUACAGUGAGGUGAAACAAAUAGAGAAGAGAGAUUCUGUUCUAACAUCCAAAAAUCAAAUUGAAAGAUUGACCCGUCCUGGUUCCUCUUACUUCAAUUUGAACCCAUUUGAGGUUCUUCAGAUAGAUCCUGAAAGUCACAGAUGAAGAAAUAAAAAAGAGGUUUCGGCAGUUAUCCAUACUGGUGCAUCCUGACAAGAAUCAAGAUGAUGCUGACAGAGCACAAAAGGCUUUUGAAGCUGUGGACAAAGCUUACAAGUUGCUACUGGAUCAGGAACAAAAGAAGAGGGCCCUGGAUGUAAUUCAGGCAGGAAAAGAAUACGUGGAACACACUGUGAAAGAGCGAAAAAAACAAUUAAAGAAGGAAGGAAAACCUACAAUUGUAGAGGAGGAUGAUCCUGAGUUGUUCAAACAAGCAGUAUAUAAACAGACCAUGAAACUCUUUGCUGAGCUGGAAAUUAAAAGGAAAGAGAGAGAAGCCAAAGAGAUGCAUGAAAGGAAACGACAAAGGGAAGAAGAGAUUGAAGCUCAAGAAAAAGCCAAACGAGAAAGAGAGUGGCAGAAAAACUUUGAGGAAAGUCGAGAUGGUCGUGUGGACAGCUGGAGAGACUUUCAAGCAAAUACAAAGGGAAAGAAAGAGAAGAAAAAUCGGACCUUCCUGAGACCACCGAAAGUAAAAAUGGAGCAGCGUGAGUGACCAUCUAGGGUCACAGCCACAGAAUCUUCCCCAGCUGUCUCCCUGCUUUGAAGGACUCAUUCUUUCCUCCCACUUCUACCCCAACAUAGAGUAGUAUUUGCUUUUUAGUCCAUUUUGUUUUCAAUCCAAUUUAAUAUUGAUCAGAGUAAUUCUUUUGUACAUUGAAAUGAGGGGCUUGGUUAAAAAAAGACCUUCCCCUCCGCCCUGCCCUUAGAACAACCAGAUUGGAAGGUACCACCAUGGGUGCUGCCUUCUCUUCCCACAGCCAGUAACUUAAUGUUUUGUACUUCACUGAAUUGUGAUGGUUAGAAACUUCGCAUAUAAUUUGUAGAAAUCAUCCAGUUAAACAAAUUGCUUAAAAUGGUGUUGUGUGACUUCAGAGUCAAGCCUGAGCCAGCUAAGCGAUUCCCUUCAGCUCAGUUGCUUGCUUCUGGGUGCCAUUCUUGAAAGCUCCAAAUCAGGCAGGGAAGGAGCGUGGGCACACAGCAGUCACUUGAUGCCCCGGUGUCCUGAUGUUUGGUGUGUACCCUCCUGUCUGGCUGACCAAUCAGCGUGGCCCUGAGCCACCUAAACCUAUUCACUUUCCAAAGAACUAGCCAUCCUCCAUUCAAUACCAUGGUGUCCUAUUCUGUCUGCAUUCAUUAGUGGUAAUAUUCUUUA